RNAcentral lists this long non-coding RNA (669 nucleotides) under Brassica rapa (field mustard). RNAcentral describes it as "long non-coding RNA (BRAP_LNC005881)". Lineage: Eukaryota; Viridiplantae; Streptophyta; Magnoliopsida; Brassicales; Brassicaceae. The record is from RNAcentral.
CCGAUUCACAAGUCAUAUGUUGGGAGAACAUAUAUUUGGUGGAUGUAUUAUGGACUUCUACCUCUCAAUUCAGUAGAUGCGGAUAACUGUGGAAAGACAUCUCUGGACAAAUCCAAUUAAUGGAAGCACAUAACAUAAGAUGACAGAAAUCAACUUUGUAUUUAGAAUUAGAAUCUCUCACAUGGGUGAUGGAGAAUAUGUUACGUCAUUCAAUUUGUCAGAAUUUUUUUUUUUUUUAAUUCUUUAUUUAUUUAUAAUCUGGCAGAGAAACUACAACGAUACACCUACUAAGGUGCCCACAAACCGGUAUUUUUAAAAAAGUAAACAAACUCCACAGAGCCCUAUCUAUACAAGAGCGAGCAAACUACUUACCAAAAAUACCUCAACUCCUUCGAGACCUUCAACGUUUCUCUCCUGCAAACUGCUGAAACUCUUCACUUCUCCUUAACCUAAAAUAGACUGAACCAAGUGCCAAGCAGAGUGGUAUCUGUCCUUCUAGAGCUGUGCACUCUAGAUAGAGGGUCUAACCGUGCUUGAAUAACUUGUUUCAUCUCAAGAAUCACUGCUUGUGCCGAGCGAAAAUUCUGAUUAUGAAUCUGAGUGUUCCUCUCUUUCCAAAUACAAUAUAAAGCUGCCUGGUACACGAGCUUAAUUAUCAGCUUCUUAAAC